RNAcentral lists this unclassified non-coding RNA (231 nucleotides) under uncultured fungus. RNAcentral describes it as "sequence contains ITS1". Lineage: Eukaryota; Fungi. The record is from RNAcentral.
GUAUUGUAUUGCGUUAAACGCGGCAUACAUUCCAUGAGACUUCAAUACAGAGUGUGUGUAAAGAUAUAGAACCACAGCGGGAGAACAGUGUCCCCCCAGCCACAGAACUACAGAGCGUGCACAGGUGUGAGUGGAUGUGUGAACAGAGCGUGCACAUGCCCCGAUUGAGGGCCAGCAACAACUCGUGUCGACAAUUCGGUAAUGAUCCUUCCGCAGGUUCACCUACGGAAA